RNAcentral lists this unclassified non-coding RNA (375 nucleotides) under Hevea brasiliensis (rubber tree). Lineage: Eukaryota; Viridiplantae; Streptophyta; Magnoliopsida; Malpighiales; Euphorbiaceae. The record is from RNAcentral.
GACUUGCAAAUUGAAAGGUUGAUGUGCACACUACUCUGGAGCAAGAAGAUUCACUUUGCACAUCAAGAUACAUUUUGUGAAAAGUAAGCUUUUUAUUGAGUAGAGUUUGCCUACAAGCCACAACCUGAAUGAAGUUUUUCUGUAAUCCUUAGUCUUUUUGGUUUAUAUGAAUGUUAGAAUGCUCGCAAGCACCUUACCUAGAGGUUCUAGAAUCUUGCUACUUAUCAAACUAAUAAAGUUCCUUCACAUAAUUACAUAAAUUUGGAACAUUUGGAAAAGGUUACAGAGGUAGCAUCUUUUCCGACAUUCUUCUGCAAGACCAUACAGUACUAGAGUCGUUACUUCAUAUAUAUCAGACAAAUACGCAACUCAACU